GUGCUCACUUCAGCAGCAUAUAUACUAAAACCGGACCGAUACAAAGAAGAUUUGCAUGGCCCCUGUGCAAGGAUGACACACAAAUUCGUGAAGUGUUCCAUAUUAAA
RNAcentral lists this small nuclear RNA (107 nucleotides) under Vombatus ursinus (common wombat). Lineage: Eukaryota; Metazoa; Chordata; Mammalia; Diprotodontia; Vombatidae. The record is from RNAcentral.